UCCGGCUUGUCACCGGCGGUUUCUUCAGAGUGCCCGGCCUUACCCGGGGGCAACUGAAGAUGAGGGUUGCGCUCGUUGCGGGACUUAACCCAACAUCUCACGACACGAGCUGACGACAGCCAUGCAGCACCUGUGUUCUCGCCGGCCGAACCGAAGGAUCUAGUCUCCUAGACCCAUACGAGACAUGUCAAAAGCUGGUAAGGUUCUUCGCGUUGCGUCGAAUUAAACCACAUACUCCACCGCUUGUGCGGGCCCCCGUCAAUUCAUUUGAGUUUCAACCUUGCGGCCGUACUCCCCAGGCGGCAUGCUUAAUGCGUUAGCUGCGACACAAGAGGGCGUGAGCCCUCCAACGUCUAGCAUGCAUCGUUUACGGCGUGGACUAC
RNAcentral lists this unclassified non-coding RNA (383 nucleotides) under uncultured Rhodospirillales bacterium. RNAcentral's name for it is "contains 16S-23S intergenic spacer region". The record is from RNAcentral. Lineage: Bacteria; Pseudomonadati; Pseudomonadota; Alphaproteobacteria; Rhodospirillales.